RNAcentral lists this transfer RNA (69 nucleotides) under mouse gut metagenome. It matches the Rfam family "tRNA". Rfam says of the family: Transfer RNA (tRNA) molecules are approximately 80 nucleotides in length. Their secondary structure includes four short double-helical elements and three loops (D, anti-codon, and T loops). The record is from RNAcentral. RNAcentral also lists the same sequence under 1 other name.
CGGUUUAGCUCAGCUGGUAGAGCGGCUGAUUUGUAAUCAGUAGGUCGUUGGUUCAAGUCCGACAACCGG